RNAcentral lists this ribosomal RNA (378 nucleotides) under uncultured organism. RNAcentral's name for it is "partial 16S ribosomal RNA". It matches the Rfam family "Bacterial small subunit ribosomal RNA", at positions 526 to 897 of the family's 1533-position model. The record is from RNAcentral.
GUAGGGGGGCAAGCGUUGUCCGGGAUUUACUGGGGCGUAAAGAGCGUGUAGGCGGCCAAGCAGGUCUGUUGUGAAAACUGGGAGGGCUCAACCUCCAGACGUCGACAGAAACCGCUUGGCUAGAGUCCGGAAGAGGAGAGUGGAAUUCCUGGUGUAGCGGUGAAAUGCGCAGAUAUCAGGAAGAACACCAAUGGCGAAGGCAGCUCUCUGGGACGGUACUGACGCUGAGACGCGAAAGCGUGGGGAGCGAACAGGAUUAGAUACCCUGGUAGUCCACGCCGUAAACGAUGGGUGCUAGGUGUGGGGGGUGUCGACUCCCUCCGUGCCGCAGCUAACGCAUUAAGCACCCCGCCUGGGGAGUACGGCCGCAAAGGCUAA